GUUUUUCCGCUCCCCUUGGCCUUGGUGCACUGUCUCUUUAAAUGGGGCGCCACACCACGGCUCGCGAGUGUUGUGGGUCUCGGGAGUGUCUGAGCUGCUGCAGAUGCCUCCUGCUGUAUGACGAUGUGCUGAGAAUGACUAUUAAGCGGAACUGGCCAGGUUCCAGUAUUGGAUGGCGAGCUAGAAGGCCCCGAGCCUGGACAUAUUGAGUGCGCCCGUCCGCCGGUGCGGUAGGAGGCGCUGCAGCCACUCCCCACACACACCCACUUGCACACACGCACACUAACAACCUCCGCUGGUGGAUUGUUUGAACUUUGCGAGUUUUGCACAGACUGAAACCCAGGUUCACCAAACUUGACGAUCUGAACUCUUUGUGCGCCUAAGUGGAUCUAUGAACUCUUCUUUCACAGCAACGUGGAUUUAUGAACAAUACUGCUUGCGCCCCUGACCUAAACAACUCUAUAAAUACAUUGGACCCAUUUUAUUUUUGUUUUACAUCACACACCUUGUAAAUUAUUGUACAUAAUGUCUUUGUCGAUGGCACUUCUGUAAAUAAUCACAGCUGAGCUCAACUUGCACAUCUGAGUCUGGUUUUCAUUUAACACACCAUCUUCCUCCGAGCGAACCUACAUCUUCUGAUACUA
Long non-coding RNA from Periophthalmus magnuspinnatus, 644 nucleotides. RefSeq lists it as uncharacterized. The record is from RefSeq and is a predicted model, not a curated record. The transcript is spliced from 3 exons. NCBI's taxonomy places the organism in Eukaryota, Metazoa, Chordata, Actinopteri, Gobiiformes, Gobiidae.